UGGUUAAAAAGCUCGUAGUUGGAUCUCGGCGGUCUGAGGGCGGUUCGCUUGAUUGAGUGCUACUGCUCUGUAGGCCGUGGUUUUGCCAGAGGUCUCGGGGUGCUCUUAACCGAGCGUCCUGCGAUGCUGGCAGGUUUACUUUGAAAAAAUUAGAGUGCUCAAAGCAGGCUUUUACGCCUGAAUAUUCGUGCAUGGAAUAAUAGAAUAGGAAGUCGUUUCUAUUUUGUUGGUUUUCGGAAAUCGACUUAAUGAUUAAUAGGGACAGUCGGGGGCAUUUGUAUUCAAACGACAGAGGUGAAAUUCUUGGACCGUUUGAAGACAAACUACUGCGAAAGCAUUUGCCAAGAAUGUUUUCAUUAAUCAAGAACGAAAGUUAGAGGUUCGAAGGCGAUUAGAUACCGCCCUAGUUCUAACCAUAAACGAUGCCAGCUAGCGAUCUGCCGACGUUUUCUUUGUAGACUCGGCAGGAAGCUUCCGGGAAACCAAAGCAUUUGGGUUCCAGGGGAAGUAUGGUUGCAAAGCUGAAACUUAAAGGAAUUGACGGAAGGGCACCACCAAGAGUGGAGCCUGUGGCUUAAUUUGACUCAACACGGGAAAUCUCACCAGGCCCGGACACUGGAAGGAUUGACAGA
RNAcentral lists this ribosomal RNA (632 nucleotides) under uncultured marine eukaryote. Its description in RNAcentral is "SSU rRNA". It matches the Rfam family "Eukaryotic small subunit ribosomal RNA", at positions 616 to 1247 of the family's 1831-position model. The record is from RNAcentral.